GGAGCCAUAGCUCAGUGGGAGAGCACCUGCUUUGCAUGCAAAAGGUUCCGGGUGCAAAGCCCUGUGUCUCUA
Molecule: non-coding RNA, 72 nt
Organism: Podarcis lilfordi (Lilford's wall lizard)
Lineage: Eukaryota; Metazoa; Chordata; Lepidosauria; Squamata; Lacertidae
Source: the annotation of a GenBank genome assembly